GAUGAAGAACGCAGCGAAAUGCGAUAAGUAGUGUGAAUUGCAGAAUUCAGUGAAUCAUCGAAUCUUUGAACGCACAUUGCGCCCCUUGGUAUUCCAUGGGGCAUGCCUGUUCGAGCGUCAUUUGUACCCUCAAGCUUUGCUUGGUGUUGAGCGUCUUGUCUCUAGCUUUGCUGGAGACUCGCCUUAAAGUAAUUGGCAGCCGGCCUACUGGUUUCGGAGCGCAGCACAAGUCGCACUCUCUAUCAGCAAAGGUCUAGCAUCCAUUAAGCCUUUUUUUUCAACUUUUGACCUCGGAUCAGGUAGGGAUACCCGCUGAACUUAAGCAUAUCAAUAAGCGGAGGA
Molecule: unclassified non-coding RNA, 342 nt
Filed under: soil metagenome
Description: partial contains 5.8S ribosomal RNA, internal transcribed spacer 2, and large subunit ribosomal RNA
Rfam family: 5.8S ribosomal RNA (bases 1-120)
Source: RNAcentral